GACGAACGCUGGCGGCGUGCUUAACACAUGCAAGUCGAACGGAAAGGCCCUGCUUUUGUGGGGUGCUCGGGUGGCGAACGGGUGAGUAACACGUGAGUAACCUGCCCUUGACUUUGGGAUAACUUCAGGAAACUGGGGCUAAUACCGGAUAGGAGCUCCUGCUGCAUGGUGGGGGUUGGAAAGUUUCGGCGGUUGGGGAUGGACUCGCGGUUUAUCAGCUUGUUGGUGGGGUAGUGGCUUACCAAGGCUUUGACGGGUAGCCGGCCUGAGAGGGUGACCGGCCACAUUGGGACUGAGAUACGGCCCAGACUCCUACGGGAGGCAGCAGUGGGGAAUAUUGCACAAUGGGCGGAAGCCUGAUGCAGCAACGCCGCGUGCGGGAUGACGGCCUUCGGGUUGUAAACCGCUUUCGCCUGUGACGAAGCGUGAGUGACGGUAAUGGGUAAAGAAGCACCGGCUAACUACGUG
This 468-nucleotide ribosomal RNA is filed under the name uncultured bacterium. RNAcentral's name for it is "partial 16S ribosomal RNA". It matches the Rfam family "Bacterial small subunit ribosomal RNA", at positions 28 to 507 of the family's 1533-position model. The record is from RNAcentral.